GAUGAACGCUGGCGGCGUGCUUAAUACAUGCAAGUCGAACGGAACGUCCUUACUAUUGUGUGCUUCUCGUGUCCGAAACGGGUGAGUAUCACGUAAGUAACCUGCCCUUGACUUUGGGCUAACUUCAAGAGACUGGGAAUAAUACCGGAUAGGUGCUCAUGCCGCAUGGCGGUGGUUGCCACGUGGCGGCGGUAUGGGAUGGAGGGGCGGCUUAUCUGUUUGUUGGUGGGGUAGUGGCUUACCAAGGCUUUGACGGGUAGGCUGCCUGAGAGGUGGAACGGCGCCCUUGGGACUACGAUACGCAGCAAUAGGGAACGGGAGGCAGUAGGCGGGAAUAUGGUACAAUGGGGGGAAGCCGGAUGAGGAAACGCCGCGUGCGGGAUGACGGGCUGCGGGUUGAAAACGGCUUUCGCCUGUGACGAAGAGGGAGUGACGGUAAUGGGUAAAGAAGCACCGGCUAACUACGUG
RNAcentral lists this ribosomal RNA (468 nucleotides) under uncultured bacterium. Its description in RNAcentral is "partial 16S ribosomal RNA". It matches the Rfam family "Bacterial small subunit ribosomal RNA", at positions 28 to 507 of the family's 1533-position model. The record is from RNAcentral.